RNAcentral lists this ribosomal RNA (293 nucleotides) under Acinetobacter baumannii. RNAcentral's name for it is "partial 16S ribosomal RNA". It matches the Rfam family "Bacterial small subunit ribosomal RNA", at positions 508 to 798 of the family's 1533-position model. The record is from RNAcentral. Lineage: Bacteria; Pseudomonadati; Pseudomonadota; Gammaproteobacteria; Moraxellales; Moraxellaceae.
CCAGCAGCCGCGGUAAUACAGAGGGUGCGAGCGUUAAUCGGAUUUACUGGGCGUAAAGCGUGCGUAGGCGGCUUAUUAAGUCGGAUGUGAAAUCCCCGAGCCCUUCAUUGGGAAUUGCAUUCGAUACUGGUGAGCUAGAGUAUGCCAUAGGAUGGUAGAAUUCCAGGUGUAGCGGUGAAAUGCGUAGAGAUCUGGAGGAAUACCGAUGGCGAAGGCAGCCAUCUGGCCUAAUACUGACGCUGAGGUACGAAAGCAUGGGGAGCAAACAGGAUUAGAUACCCUGGUAAAACUUU